This 168-nucleotide ribosomal RNA is filed under the name Synodus variegatus (variegated lizardfish). RNAcentral's name for it is "partial small subunit ribosomal RNA". The record is from RNAcentral. Lineage: Eukaryota; Metazoa; Chordata; Actinopteri; Aulopiformes; Synodontidae.
CGCCGCGGUUAUACGAGAGGCCCAAGUCGAUGAAGCCCGGCGUAAAGAGUGGUUAAGGAAUAUCAUACCUAGAGAAAAACGUUCUUCGAGCUGUUAUACGCCCACGAGAACACGAAGCCCCAACACGAAAGGAACUCUAUUUCCCCUGAACCCACGAGAGCUUUGGUA